CAGGACCAACCAGCUAGUAAAUGUCUGAGGCACAUUUGAACUCAAGAAGAUGAGUCUUCCUGACUCCAGGCCCAGUACUCUUACUACUGAACCAUCUAGCUGCCCCAGGUGGAUCAUGGCCAGGUAUGAAGAGGAAAUGGAUCUCAUUUUUGGUGAGAAAGCCUUGUAUUCUAUAUUUCCUUAGCUGACACAGUGUGUCAAUGAUUAUAAGCUAUAUUUUUGAAUUUUAACACUCUUUUAUUAUUAUAUUUUCUUGCAUGUGUAAUAUACUAUUUCAGUUUUUAUUUUUUCUCUUUUUUAUAUUUGAAGCACGUCAUCAGUAUUAAGAUUUUAACUUUUUCUGAUUUAGCAGUAUUAUAAGUUUAAAAUAUUUGCUAUAAUGUCAAUGCAUGCCCCAAAAGCUUGAGACUAUAAAAAAUGAUUCCAUUUAUUGAUAAAAAUUAUGGGACUUUGCUUAAUGAUUUUGUCUGAUUCCAGGACAAGAUAUACAAAAGAGUUAUUGCACCGGGCCAAAGAAGCACAAAGCUAAACCUGAAUUGUGUUAAAAGAACACACAGGUCAAAAAAGAAGAAACCAAUCCAGAUAGGAUUGAUGCACUUCUAAGCCAAUACAAAGGACUUGAACCUACUGUGGGACUGUUUGAGGUUGCAAUUCUUGACAUAUGUUAAGACAUAGGCCUACUUGUAUCCACACUCUUCAUGAAAAUACUUACAGAUAGUACCAAAAUUUGGCUCCUACCUGGCUCCUAAUCUAGUCCCUACUCUGUCUUUCAUAAUGUGGCAACUUUCUAUAGUCCUGGCUACUGACUGGGUAAAUGCUUAAUUGCUUAUAUCAUUUUAAUUGGGCCCUGAUUUAAGGACCUGUUACAGAUUUAUUUUUCCUUUACUUGGAAUGUUUACACAUAAGAAUUUGAUAGUUUAUAUUUCAUCCAGAAAUUAUCUUUUUUAAUUUGGAUUUUUUUUUAUAUUUUUGAUUUCUCUUACCAAUUGAUUCAUAUACCUCAUAACUCAGCCAUGCAUCCCUAAGUGAUACCUGUGUUUUUCAAUCACC
RNAcentral lists this long non-coding RNA (1050 nucleotides) under Monodelphis domestica (gray short-tailed opossum). Its description in RNAcentral is "lncRNA (ENSMODG00000036940.1)". Lineage: Eukaryota; Metazoa; Chordata; Mammalia; Didelphimorphia; Didelphidae. The record is from RNAcentral.